Ostrea edulis (European flat oyster) is the source of this 733-nucleotide long non-coding RNA. RefSeq lists it as uncharacterized. The transcript has 3 exons. The record is from RefSeq and is a predicted model, not a curated record. Lineage: Eukaryota; Metazoa; Mollusca; Bivalvia; Ostreida; Ostreidae.
AGGGUAGGACAAAGUUUCCAGAGAAUCCAUAUCCGUCAAAUGCACGAUGACCAUAAACAAUCAGUCCGAAUUCUGAUUUAUCUGUUGUUGAUAAAACAAAUGUUUCACCAGUAUUUUUGACUUGAAAGACACGGACGUCGUAUGCUUUAUCUAAAUACACAGAACUCUGAUAAACAGUGUUAUAAUGAUCUCUAGAGAGGCCAUUUAUCUGAAGGUUGUCUAUGGAGACUGCUGGAAUUAUUAGACAUAGGAAGUUUUCUGUAUAUCCAGAUGGUAUUGUGAUCUUGUAGAAAGCGAGAUACUGAUGCACGCCGGGAAUGACCGUCAUGGUAUUGACAUCCCAAUAUUUAGUUGGAAGUUCCUAGGUAUCGUCAGCUAGUGACAGUCUGCUGGCAAAUCCAGACAUGCAUUGAAAGGAUGCUGAUGUGGAGGACACAGGAACACCUGAUCCAAGAACUGUGGCAUUUCAUUCGGAGCGACAGCUUGGCAUUCAAUAUUAGACCCUAUUAUUCAGAGAACUGCAGAUUUUAUGAAGCUGUUUUUUGACAGAAGAUUUGGUUUUCUCCAUCUGUAUUGCCACCAACCAUUAUGCUGAGAUGGUCAUAUCUAGGGGGAAGGAGUGUCAAUAUGCUUCCCAAGGAAGAGGAAUUGUACAGGUGUUACUAGUUUUAAAGUACUGAUAUUGUGAUUGUGAUUCCCAGUUUAAAAUGAAUAAUAAAAUGCAAACUAAAAA